This 21-nucleotide non-coding RNA is filed under the name Caenorhabditis elegans. The record is from RNAcentral. Lineage: Eukaryota; Metazoa; Nematoda; Chromadorea; Rhabditida; Rhabditidae.
UAUUCGUAUUAGUAUUCGUAU